CAGUAUGGUCAUCCAUCAAGUCAGGACUUAUACCCAGUAUCUGUGCCAUAUUCCUGGGGAGCUUCACUUGUAACCUAGGCAAACGUCCUGCCCACUUUCUGAGACCAGAAACAAGUGAAUGCUCAGCAGUUCUUGAAGUAGAAGAUGGGAGGUUUGCUAGAGUGAGGGUUUAAGGAAGACCUGAGCAAACCGAUGUCUUCUGGAAAUUACAUGAUCAUGUACCCAUGAAUUCAUAGCAGCUGUGGUUACCUGCACAGAAUCAAGCCAAUCAACAAGCCAGCAUGAAAUGGGGUCUUGUGAGACCCUACUUCUAGCUCAGAAGCUAUGGGCAGUUGACAGCUUCUGAAGGAGGGAAAAAUACUUCAAAACCAGAGAAUAAAGACAAACGAUGGGAAGUGAAAGGCAUCUUUGACUGACAAUGGUUUUGCAAACAGUUGUAGUGGAUCUUCUUGCAAGAAAGCAAAUCUGUCCUUGGGAAUAAGGAGACCUAUGAUUCCUACUGAAUUAGAAGACUAAGCAGCUGUGGGAUGUUGCAAACAUCGUUCUGCUCCAUGACCACCUGGAGUUACUUGCUCAGUGUUUGAUUAAAAGACCCUGUGACUUCUUACAGAGAACCGAAGUCCCUGCCAUGCCUCAUGUGAGAUAACAGACACUACUGUUCCUUCUUACCACACUGAAAAUGCACAUGCUCCCUAUUAGAGUUCUCCUUAUUGGAAGGUGUGUAUGUCUGUGUCGACAUUACAAGCCAAGAAGGAGGAGGAGGAAAGAAGAGGUUGAGACCAGAACUCAUUAUACCUUCAGCUUCCCAAAUUACAAAA
Long non-coding RNA from Mesocricetus auratus (golden hamster), 818 nucleotides. RefSeq lists it as uncharacterized. Lineage: Eukaryota; Metazoa; Chordata; Mammalia; Rodentia; Cricetidae. The transcript has 3 exons. The record is from RefSeq and is a predicted model, not a curated record.